This 253-nucleotide ribosomal RNA is filed under the name uncultured bacterium. RNAcentral's name for it is "partial 16S ribosomal RNA". It matches the Rfam family "Bacterial small subunit ribosomal RNA", at positions 524 to 776 of the family's 1533-position model. The record is from RNAcentral.
UACGUAGGGGGCAAGCGUUGUCCGGAAUCAUUGGGCGUAAAGCGCGUGUAGGCGGCCAGAAAAGUCCGCUGUGAAAACUCGAGGCUCAACUUCGAGCUGUCGGUGGAAACUUUCUGGCUAGAGUCCGGAAGAGGAGAAUGGAAUUCCUGGUGUAGCGGUGAAAUGCGCAGAUAUCAGGAAGAACACCAGUGGCGAAAGCGGCUUCCUGGUCCAGUACCGACGUUCAGGCACGAAAGCGUGGGGAGCAAACAGG